This is a long non-coding RNA of Panicum hallii, 531 nucleotides long. RefSeq lists it as uncharacterized. The record is from RefSeq and is a predicted model, not a curated record. The transcript has 3 exons. Lineage: Eukaryota; Viridiplantae; Streptophyta; Magnoliopsida; Poales; Poaceae.
UAAUCCAAUGCUAGAUCAAAGUCUGGAAGCAGAAAAGGUCCUGUGCAGGAAGUGUAUAUUGGAUGGCUCCUGAGGUCAUUCGCGGGACUCCAUAAGGGCGUUCUGCUGAUAUCUGGAGCCUCGGGUGCACUGUCCUGGAGAUGUUCGUACAAAGACCUCCUUAUCCUGACGACAAUUGGGUAUCAGCCUUCUACCAAAUUGGUCGUGGUCAGCUCCCUACGGUCCCAAGCUCAUUGCCCCUGGUGGCUCGCGAGUUCAUACACAAGUGCCUCCGGGUAAACCCUGACGACCUGCACUCUGCUGACGAACUGCUGGGGCAUCCAUUCGUGGCGCUGCCGGAUUCAGAACAGCAUGUUGCCUGAUCGACGUCGUCACGUUCAGAACGAGCAGGACAUGAAUUCGUUGCUUCAAGACUGAUCCUUGCUGGAAGUUUCAGAAUCGCCGUAGCAUUGUCAGGUGAAGGAAAAUCUAUCACGCUAGAUUCGGGCAUGGGAUUUGUAAAAUGUGAUUCGAGAUUUCAACGUCUAGUAA